This 451-nucleotide ribosomal RNA is filed under the name uncultured soil bacterium. Its description in RNAcentral is "bacterial SSU rRNA". It matches the Rfam family "Bacterial small subunit ribosomal RNA", at positions 26 to 478 of the family's 1533-position model. The record is from RNAcentral.
AGAUUGAACGCUGGCGGCAUGCCUUACACAUGCAAGUCGAACGGUAGAGUAGCAAUACUUGAGAGUGGCGAACGGGUGAGUAAUAUAUCGGAACGUGCCCAGUCGUGGGGGAUAACGUAGAGAAAUUUACGCUAAUACCGCAUACGAUCUAAGGAUGAAAGCGGGGGACCGUAAGGCCUCGCGCGAUUGGAGCGGCUGACAUCAGAUUAGGUUGUUGGUGAGGUAAAAGCUCACCAAGCCGACGAUCUGUAGCUGGUUUGAGAGAACGACCAGCCACACUGGGACUGAGACACGGCCCAGACUCCUACGGGAGGCAGCAGGUGGGAAUUUGGACAAUGGGACGAAAGCCUGAUCCAGCAAUGCCGCGUGCGAAGGAAGAACGGCCGUUCGGGUUCGUAAACGUGUCUUUUAGUAACGGAACGAAACGGUCGUAGUACGUUUAAUACGUAGU